Molecule: small RNA, 125 nt
Filed under: Marmota monax (woodchuck)
Lineage: Eukaryota; Metazoa; Chordata; Mammalia; Rodentia; Sciuridae
Source: RNAcentral
GCCAGGUGUGGUGGUGCACACCUGUAAUCCCAGUGGCUCCAGAGGCUGAGACAGGAGAAUCGCGAGUUCAAAGCCUGCCUCAGCAACCAUGAGGCCCUAAGGAACUCAGUGAGACCCUGUCUCUC